AAAGUCAAAAGUACUUCAAAGGGUUCUCCUGGUGUCUGUGCAGCAGCGACUUACUGAACAUGGCUUCGAGUCGCACCAGACAGCUGAUGAAGCUGUCGAAGUCGAUGUUCAUGUUCUCGUUGGCGUAGCGCAUGGUGAUGAUGUCGUACAGCUGGUUGUUGAGACGGAAGCCUGAGCGGGACACAAGACACAUGACUGUACAGUGAAGAGAUCAUUAGGGGGAUGUCUGAACUCCUGCAGGUUGAGUCUUCCUGUCCCGUCCAUCUGCACACAGCAGGUUAAGCCCAAAAAACCAAGGUUAAGUGAGGCCCUGAGCGUGCAGCAGACCAGCAGCCCGAUGCUCUCGAUACAAAGGAUACGUCCAUCAGAGCAAUCAUGCUCCUGCAGCUCUCCAGACUGAAGCCCUCCGUGUUCAGGUCCUUAUCUGCAACACAAAAUACAACAAAACAUGAUUUAUCUGCAGGAAAAUGUAUAAAAACAUGAUUUAUCUGCAGGAAAAUGUAUAAAAACAUGAUUUAUCUGCAGGAAAAUGUAUAAAAACAUGAUUUAUCUGCAGGAAAAUGUAUAAAAACAUGAUUUAUCUGCAGGAAAAUGUAUAGAAACAUGAUAUAU
Molecule: long non-coding RNA, 612 nt
Organism: Eleginops maclovinus (Patagonian blennie)
Lineage: Eukaryota; Metazoa; Chordata; Actinopteri; Perciformes; Eleginopidae
Exons: 3
Source: RefSeq, a predicted model, not a curated record